GGGUAAAAAGGUUUUAUGGCAGUGGAACUUGAUAUGAGUAAAGCAUACGAUCGAGUUGAGUGAAAAUUUAUUGAAGAAAUAAUGAUUCGUAUGGGCUUUGCCUACUGGAUUGAGACUAUUAUGAAGUGCAUAAAUUCUGUUACCUAUUCGAUAAUAGUUAAUGGAUUUGAAGGGGAAAAUUUUCAACCGAUGAAGGGGCUGCACCAAAGGGAUCCACUCAGCCCUUUUAUGUUACUUAUAUGUGGGGAAGGCUUAGCUUGUCUAAUAAAUCGUGCAAUGCGUGAAGGGUUGUUGAAAGGUGUAAAAGCUAAGGAGUGGACCGCAGGUGUCGCACUUACUCUUCGCUGAUAACUGCAUUUUAUUUAGUGAAGUAACGAGUAGAGGAGCUAAUAUCUUAAAAGAAAUCCUUAGAAAGUACAAAAUGUGUUAAGGGCAAUGCGCUAAAUUUGACGACAAAUCAGUAGUCCUUUUUAGCAAGAAUACACCUGAUGUUGAUAGAAGAGUGGUGGGUAAUAUAUUGGGAGUACGAAGCUCGGGUGACCUAAAGUGUUACCUAGGAUUACCUAACAUGGUAGGCAAAAAGAAAAGGGAGUCAUUUCAGAUUUUAAAGAGGAUCGAAUUAAGCAACGCAUUGAUCAAUGAAGUACGAGACAUUUAUCACAAGGAGGGAAAGAAGUAUUUAUUAAGUCCAUACUCCUAGCCAUCCCAACUUACUCAAAGGCCUGUUUCCUUUUACCUAAGACAUUGUGCAGUGAGAUUGAGAAUAUUAUUGCCAAGUUUUGGUAGCAGAAGGGCCAUGGAAGAAGGGGUAUACACUGGUGUGCGUGGAGGAACCUUUGUACUUUGAAGGAAAAUAGAGGUAUUGGAUUUCAAAAUAUUAUUCAGUUUAAUAUCGCUAUGUUAGCUAAACAAGGGUGGCGACUCAUUAAUUAUCCAAAUUCCUUACUGGCAAAAGUUCUUAAAGCUAAGUAUUAUCCAAGUUCAGACUUUUUUAAUGCACAGUUGGGAAACUCACCAUCUCUUACCUAGAAGAGUGUCUAGGCUACAAAAGGAUUGUUACGAAGUGGGCUGAGUUGGAGAGUUGGAGAGUUGGAUGGGGAACUGGAAUCUCAGUAUGGAAUGAUCAGUGGGUACCAGGAAUUGAUACGAUUGUUAGGAGCCACGGAAACAACAAUGAAGUCCAAUUAGUUUUAGAUUUAAUUGAUGCAACAAAUAAUAUGUGGAAGAAAGAAUUAGUGCUAAGUACCUUCCCAGUAGACACUGCCCAAAAGAUUUUGCAAAUUCCUCUGGCGGAACUCCUAGGAGUUGAUUUUCAGGUGUGGAAGGGUGAGCUUUCUGGUGAGUUUUCGGUCAGAAGUGCUUACAAACUAUUACAAAUCACUAGCUCGAAUCCUAACGACUGAUUAUUACAAACCGAUUUAAAAAAUUUCUACAAAAAGCUCUGGAAUUUACAGCUCCCCUCAAAGAUUACUAUUAUAGUUUGGAGAGCAUCAUAGAACUAUAUGCCUACUCUAGUUAAUUUGCGAUCUAAACAAAUAGCCGACACUGCUGCUUGUCCUCGAUGUAGAUCUGGGGAGGAAGAUAUAUCUCAUGUCUUUCUGUAUUGUCUUGUAGCAAUAGAAGUUUGGCAAAUGUUAGAUCUUCCUUGGGUUAAUAACUUUUUGGUUCAAAGGUUCUGGGAAUGGCUUACUUGGAUUUUCCAAAAGAGCACUCCCAAACAAGGUCGAUUGAUUUGCUGUGGCAUAUGGGUCCUGUAGGGGUCAAGAAACAAGCUCAUGCAUGAAAGAAAAUUUGUGUCAGGAAGAGAGAUAGCAUCAAAAGUUCAAAGGUAUGUGGCCAAGAUUGAUGGUCUAACAGAAAAAAAGUGUACCUUGUAUACAGCUACGAGGGCCAUUCAAAUCAAAACGAGUUUUGGGAUGACGAUUCACUUUGAUGCUGCCUUUAAUCGAAGGGAUUUCAAAUCGAUGGCAGGCCUGGUGGUUCUAGAUCAUAUGAGAGUAAUCCUUGCUACGAAAACGGUCUUAAAUUCAAAUAUUUCAACUUCUUUUGCAACAGAAGCUUAUGCAGGUCUUCAUGCGAUUAAUCUUGGACUUUCCAUGGGUAUACACUCAGUUACGGUAAAGGGGGACUCACGAACCGUCAUAAAGAAAUGUCAAACAUCGAUGCAAGAUAAGUCAGUUAUAGGAGCAAUAAUCAGUGAUAUUCAAAAAAAGUCAAGAGUUUUUUCAAGAAAUCAGAUUCCAAUUUAUCAAUAGAACCGAGAACGUCUUGGCUCACAAAAUUGCAGAAGAAGCGCUAAGAAGGGGAGAAAAAACACACCUGGAAGGAGAGGUAUUACACCGCCUUUAUGUGCGCUCGGAGGGAAGAUAGAGUAGGCUCCCAAAUUGAGAAUGGCUUUUUGUGAAAGAUGAAAAAGAAUGGAUAGCAUACUAUGGAAGAAACUGAAAAGCUAUCAAAUGCAGCAGAUGGGUGUAUUGGAAAUGAAAGGACAAUUUGUAAAUGGUGUCCAGCUGCAAUCUGAUUCGACUAGUAAUUAGUACCCUAGGUUUCCUAUUUUCGUAGCUUUAAGUAUUCUGCUUUCCA
This 2583-nucleotide long non-coding RNA is filed under the name Gossypium barbadense (sea-island cotton). RNAcentral describes it as "long non-coding RNA (GBAR_LNC011284)". The record is from RNAcentral. Lineage: Eukaryota; Viridiplantae; Streptophyta; Magnoliopsida; Malvales; Malvaceae.